RNAcentral lists this long non-coding RNA (12856 nucleotides) under Homo sapiens (human). RNAcentral's name for it is "non-protein coding lnc-GRM1-1:32". The record is from RNAcentral. Lineage: Eukaryota; Metazoa; Chordata; Mammalia; Primates; Hominidae.
GACCCCGCAGCGUCGUGGCUAGAGUAGGGUCUGGAGAGAGCUCCCACUGUGGCGAGUCCUGUCGUUGGAUUCCCGCGGCGCCCCGUAAGGCUCCGCCCCGGCGGUGCUACCAAACCCUGUUCGAUUUUAGAAUCGUACAUUCCCAGAGGGAAUCCUAGACCCCUCAUUUUACAGUUGAGGAAACAGGCCCAAGUAGCAUGACUUGUUCGCGCCGCUAGUCGAAGGAGCAGCAGCCCCGAUCCCUUGACUCUGGGGCACUGCUUUCCCUUUAGCUCAUUUUUGGAGGAAAUGGGUGCGCCCUUGCUCGACCUUUGGUGAUUGCCGCCACAGGCCUUCCCGCCGGCUAACUCAGCGUGCCCAAGUCCCGUGACUUAGUGCCAGGACGGUGCUGUGACCCGUUAUCCCCUGUCGGGUUUUACCUCCCCCCGGGAGAGCUCAGCCCUGGAUCCCGGCGGGCGGCGGAGCCUCUCUGGAGCCCGGACGGGACAGCCCACCAGGGUCUGCUUCUGUGAGGGGCCGAGGCGUCAUUCCGCGAAGGCUCUUCAUUCGAUGUACAAAAACCACAAGAUUAUCUAAAUAGAUGCAGAAAAGGCCUUCGAUAAAAAUCCUCAUUCCUUCAUGUUAAAAACUCUCAAUAAACUAGGUAUUGAAGGAACAUACCUCAAAAUAAUAAGAGCCAUUUAUGACAAACUCACAGCCAGUGUCCUUACUGAAUGGGCAAAAGCUGAAAGCAUUCCCCUUGAAAACCAGCACAAGACAAGUUUGCCCUCUCUCCCAACCCCUAUUCAAUAUAGUAUUGGAAGUUAUGGCCACGGCAAUCGGGCAAGAGAAAAAAAUGAAGAGUAUUUAAAUGGGAAAAGAGGAAGUCAAACUAUCUUUUUUUGCAGGUGACAUAAUCCUAUAUCUAGAAAACCCAUUGUCUCAACCCAAAAGCUUCUUAAGCUGAUAAGCAACUUCAGCAAAGUCUCAGGAUAAAAAAUCAAAGUGCAAAAAUUGCUAUACACCAACAACAGGCAAGCCAAGAGCCAAAUCAUGAAUGAGCUUUGAUUCACAAUUGCUACAAAAAGAACAAAAUACCUAGGAAUACAGCUAACAAGGGAAGUGAAGGACCUCUUCAAGGAGAACUACAAAGCACUGCUCAAAGAAAUCAGAGAUGAUGCAAACAAAUGGAAAAACGUUCCAUGCUCAUGGAUAGGAAGAAUCAAUAUUAUGUAAAUGGUCAUACUGCCCAAAGCAACUUAUAAAUUCAAUGUUAUUCCCAUUAAAUUACCACUGACAUUCUUCACAUAAUUAGAAAAAACUAUUUUGAAAUUUAUAUGGAACCAAAAAAGAGCCUGAAUACUGAAAGCAAUCCUUAGCAAAAAGAACAAAGGUGGAGGCAUCAGGCUAGCUGACUUCAAACUAUACGAUAGGGCUACAGUAACCAAAAUAGCACGGUACUGGUACAAAAACAGAGACAUAGACCAAUGGAAAAGAAUAGAGAAUACAGAAAUAAGACUGCACACCUACAACUGUCUCAUCUUUGACAAACCUGACAAAAACAAGCAAUGGAGAAAGGAUUCCCUAUUUAAUAAAUGGUGCUGGGAGAACUAGCUAGCCAUAUGCAGGAUAUUGAAACUGGCACCUUCCUUACGCCUUACACAAAAAUCAACUCAAGAUGGAUUAAAGACUUACAUGUAAAACCCCAAACUAUAAAAACACUAGAAGAAAACCUGGGCAAUACCAUUUAGGAUAUAGGCAUUGGCAAAGAUUUCAUGAUGAAAACACUAAAAGCAAUUGCAACAAAAGCAAAAAUUAGCAAAUGGGUCUAAUUAAACUAAAGAGCUUCUGCACAGCAAAAGGAACUAUUAACAGAGUAAACAGACAACCUACAGAACGGGCGAAAAUUGUUGCAAUCUAUGUAUCUGACAAAGCCCUAAUAUCCAGAAUCUAUAAGGAACUUAAACAAAUUUACAAAAAAAAGCAACCCCAUUAAAAAGUGGGCAAAGGACAUGAACAGACACUUCUCAAAAGAAGACAUACAUGUGGCUAACAAACAUGAAAAAAGCCUUCACAUCACUAAUUAUUAGAUAAAUGCAAAUCAAAACCAAAUGAGAUACCAUCUUACAUCAUUCAGGAUGGUGAUUAUUAAAAAGUCAAAAAAUGACAGAUGCUGAUGAGGAUGUGAAGAAAAAGGAACACUUUAAUACUGUUGGUGGGAGUGUAAAUUAGUUCAACCAUUGUGGAAAACAGUCUGGUGAUUCUUCAAAGACAAAGAGGCAGAAAUACCAUUCUACCCAGCAAUCUCAUUACUGGUUAUAUACUCAAAGGAAUAUAAAUCAUUUUCUUAUAAAGACACAUGCACAUAUAUGUUUAUUGCAGCACUAUUCACAAUAGCAGACAUAGAAUCAACCUAAAUGCCUAUCAGUGAUAGAUUGGAUAAAGAAAAUGUACAUAUACAACAUGGAAUACUAUGCAGGCAUAAAAAGGAAUCAGGUCAUGUGCUUCGCAGGGACAUGGAUGGAGCUGGAGGCCAUCAUCCUUAGCAAACUUACACAGGAACAGAAAACCAAAUACUGCAUGUUCUCACUUACAAGUGGGAGCAAAAUGAUGAGAAUACAUGGACACAUGGCGGGGAACAACACACACUAGGGUGUGUUGGAGAGUAGGGAGAGGAUCAGGAAGAAUAACUAUUGGAUAAUGGGCUUAAUACCUGGGUGAUAGGAUGAUCUGUGUAGCAAACCACCAUGGCACACAUUUACCUAUGUAACAAACCUGCAUAUCCUGCACAUGUAUCCCUGAACUUAAAAUAAAAGUUGGAAAUAAAAAAAAAAGAGUGAUUAUGUCAGGGACUAGGUGGUAGCUGUGGAGAUGAUGAAAAGUGGUCAGAGUCUAGAUGCAUUUUGAGGGUGGGCUUGAUUGGCUGGUGGAUUAGAUGUGAAGGAUGAGAGAAGAAAAAGGUACUAGGAUGACUCUAGAGUUUUUGCCUUGAACAAGAAAAAAGGAUGAAUGCCAUUUACCAAGAUUAUAGAAAAUAGCCAGUCUGUUUAUUCUUACACUAUCAAUUGACACAACUUCCAGUUAAUAAGUUCACUUUAUUUUCUGAAAGUUACAGGAGAAGACUUUACUGGUUAUGACCUUAUACUGCUUUAAUGGUCAUCUGUAGCCAAAAUCAUGGACAUAAAUUCUGAGGAGGGUUCCUGGUAAGCCUCCCAUUCCUGCUAUGAGAAGAAACCAGCAUGCCCAUGCUUCCCAGCAGCAUACUGUAAUUGCUAAGUGUCAAUGAUGAUGUCAGUUUUAGUGUCUCAGUAACAGUUGCUAGAGGAAGGAAGGAAGGAAGGAAGGGAGGGAGGGAGGGAGGGAGGGAGGGAGAGGAUGAAGAAAAAGAACGAAAAGUUAGAAACUAUGUAGUCCCAGCCUCUAGAAGCCAGAGGCAUGAGGUCUACUUAGGGUCCUCUUGAGACAGGUGAAGACUUUUCAGUGUCACAAAAUUAAUAUCACAAAGUGAUAUUAUGUUAGUAUUAUGACAUCAAAAUGUGUGGGCAGGCUGGGCACAGUGGCUCACGCCUGUAAUCCCAGCACUUUGGGAGUCUGAGGCAGGUGGAUCACCUGAGGUCAGGAGUUCAAGACCAGCCUGGCCAACAUGGGGAAACCCCGUCUCUAUUAAAAAUACAAAAUUAGCGGCGCAUGGUGGAGCAAGCCUGUAAUCCCAGCUACUUGGGAGGCUGAGGCAGGAGAAUCACUUGAAUUCAGGAAGAGGAGGUUGCAGUGAGCCGAGAUCGUGCCAUUGCACUCCAGUCUGGGCAACAAGAGUGAAACUCCAUCUCAAAAAUAAUAAAAUAAUAAUAAUAAUAAUAAUAAUAAUAAUGUGUGGGCAGAUGUCAUCUACACCAUAGUUUCAGAAUGCAAUAAAUUCACAUUUAAAAACCUUGAAGUACACCGUAUCAAAACUUUACUUCAUCUUUCAUUCUUAUGUGAUUCAGUUGAUAGGCUGGAAGAACAAUGAAAGUGAGUUCCAUCAUGCUGCCUGGUGUCCGUGUCCUUAAUGAUAAAGACUUUGAGUGUAUUUGCAAACUCUCUGUUAAUGACAGCAUUUUUUUUUAUUCUGAGCUUUAUUAAGGUAUAAUUGACAUACAAAAAUUGUACAUAUUUAAGGUGUAUAAUGUAAUGUUUUGAUAUACAUAUACAUUCUGAAAUGAUUACCAAAAUCAAGAUAAUUAACACAUCCAUCACCUCAUAGUUAUCCAUUUAGCAAAUCCUUUACUAGGUGGCAAAAUUGAUUUUAAAAUCACAUUUUUAUCCCCUUGAAGUUUUUUCAUCUGUAAAUUUUCAAGGGCAGUCUUUUAAUAGAAUACAAACAGCUCAUUCCUUAUGUGGCUCCAAGCUGGCAUUUCAGCAUUGGGUUUAAACUUUAGAGCAACAUAUGAAAAUCUCCUGAAUAAACUUGUCAAUGAUUAUGGUCAUCAAAACUUAGUAUGAUCAAGGAAACUGGUUUUUGCAUAAUAUUCUGAAUAUUUAAACUCCACAGAGCUUGAAUAAAUGAAGUACAAAUUAAACAUAUCGAUUUUUUUCUUUUGGUACAUGGUCUAUGUUAUUGCAGAUUAGCAUCCCAAAUCCCAAAAUCCCAAAUUUGAAAUGCUUCAAAACUGAAACCUUUUGAGCACUGAUAUAAGUCUCAAGGGAAAUGCAUUUUGGAUUUCAGAUGCUCAACCAGUAAGCACAUAAUGCAAAUAUUAAAAAAUCUGAAAUCCAAAACACUUCUGGUCCCAAGAUAUGGGAUACUCAUCCUGUACCAUGGUAAAUGGUUAGUUCUUCCUUGGCUUAUGCCAGUGGUUCUUGAUUUAAGCCCCAGGAGAUAUUGGAAAUUUCUGGAAACAUUUUUGGUUGUCAAAGCUUGGGGGUGGAGUAUGUUUCUGGCAUCUAAUGGGUAGAGGCCAGGGAUGCUGCUCAAUCUUAUAAUGCAUAGGACAGGCCCCAGAAGAAAGAAUUGCCUGGCCCAAAAUGUCAAUCACUAGUGCUGAGGUUGAGAAUUCUUGACUUAGGCCAUAGCCGUUCCACAGCUCAAGUCACAGUUGCAUUCCUUUAGUUGAACCUUACAGUUCAGUUGUUCUACUCAAUAUUUGAAUGCUGAAGGAAGACUGGCCCUCUAGGGUUGUAUUUCUAGAACAGGGAGAAUGUAGUACUUUGAGGUUGCAUGCUUUAGAAUUAGUCAUUAUGUGAGUUGGAAGACCAUUUGAUUCUUUAUUAGAAGUUAGCAAGUGUGCCAGAUUAGACCUUCACCCAAGAACGUCAUGAGGGUUAAUGAGAGGUUUUUAAAAGAUAAUAGUUAUCUUUGUUUCAUGUUUAACAACUUUAUGCAUUGGCUGGUCAUUCCAGCUCCACAGAAAGCUCUUCAGUUGAGUUUCAAUUACAGCCCGCAAUUCCAGAUGCUACAACAUUUUAACUGUGGCUGCCAGAUAUCAGUGAGAUUCACAGGCCUGGAGUACAACAUUCUUUACAAUGUGUGCUUCAUAUUUUGAAGGCCAUCUGUCUCAUUUUCAUCUACAAUUGGCUCUGCCGAAGUUUUGCAUGCCAAAUGAUAUUUUUUAAAAUAAGCUUUUGUGCUACUUUAAAAAUGUUUCAAAAAUAUCUUCGAGAUACAAUUCACACACCAUGAAAUUCAGCCAUUUAAAGUGUACAAGUCAGUGGUUUUUAGUAGAUUCACAAAGUUGUGCAACUAUCACUACAGUCUAAAUUUAGAACACUUUCAUUACUCCAUAAAGAAACCCCAUGCCCAUUAGCAGUCACUCCAGUUCCUCUCCUAGUCCUGGGCAACCACUAAUGUAAUUUCUGUCUCUAAAGAUUUGCCUGUUCUUAUGAGGAGUGGCGGUGUACACCUGUAGUCCCAGCUACUUGAGGAGGCCAAGGCAGGAGGAUCAUUUAAGCCCAGGAGUUUCAGGCUGCAGUGAAUUAUGAUACUGCUACUGCACUCCCAUCUGGGUGACAGAGUGAGAACCCAUCCUCUAAAAAAAAUAAAGAUUUGCCUAUUCUAGACAUUUCUUAUAAACAGAAAUAUACAGUAUUUUGGGACUGCUUUUUUUCACUUAGCAUAAUGUUUUUAAGGUUCAUCCAUGUUGUAGCAUGUAUAAGUAUUUCAUUUCUUUUUUGUCCAAAUCAUAUUCCAUUAGAAGUAUAACCAUAUUUGAUUUAUCCAUUUAUCGUUUGAUAGGCAUUUGGGUUGUUUCCACAUUUGCCUACUAUAAAUAAUGCUGCUAUAAAUAUUCACAUACAAGUUUUUCUGUGAACACAUGUUUUCAUUUCUCUCCAUUAUUAUUAUAGGCUGAACUGUGGCUCCACCAAAUUCAUAAUUUGAAGUCCCAACCCCUAGUAUCUCAGGAUGUAACUGUAUUUAAAGAUAAGGUGUGUAUAGAGGUGGUUAUGCUAAAGUAAAGCUGCUAGGAUGGGGGCUCUAAUCCCGUAUGAAUAGUGUCCUUAUAAAAAGCCAUCAGGGGCCUGUCCGCACAGGGAAACACCAUGUGAGGAUACAGAAAACAACCAUCUGCAAGAAAGGAGAGAGAUCUUAGAAGAAAACAGACCUGCCAGCACUGUAAUCUUCAACUGCCAGGCUCCAAAACUGUAAUAAAUAAAUUUCUGUUGUUUAAUUUACUCAGUCUGUGGUAUUUUGUUAUGGCAGCUCUAGCAGACUAUUACAGGUAAAUACCUAGGAGUAGAAAUGUUGGGUCAUGUGGUAACUCCAUUUAACACUCCAGGUACCUGCCAGACUGUUCAUAUGAGUUUUUGUAUGAAUAUAUGUUUUAUUUUCUCUUAAGUACAUAGGAGUGGCAUAGCUGCUAGGUGUACAUUUAACUAUUUAAGACACGGAUAAAUGGUUUUCCAAAGCAGCUGUACCAUUUUACAUUCCUACCAGCAAUGUUUGAGGGUUCCAAUUUUCUGUAUCCUUAACAAAACUUGUUAUUGUCUAUCUUUUGACUAUAGUUCAGGGACUAAGCUCUGAUUUUUAUCUUGCCCAAAUUCCUACCUAAGAGGUCUGGGGAGUCAUGUCCUACAAACCAUGGAUCCUCAUCAGAUGGCUUUUAUUUGACCAUGUAUAUUGUGACUUGCUUUUCAAUCUGACUCUGGCGUGACAUUAUGAGACAAGGAAAUAAUAUUUAGCCCCAUAAUAUAUUUCCUUGCCAUGCCUCGAAAUUGCCCUGCAAAGUCUCUUGUGGGAAAAAUCCACAUUCCAUAGAAAAUCUCCUUCCCCUUUUAUUUUCUUUCCUUUCUUUGCAGAUCCAGUGGAUAAUCAACUAAGAGCUAGGCAUCCUUUUAGAUUUGAUAAGAAACAUUUUACAACCUACCCUCUCUCUGAAGUCUGCCAUCUGAGAGAUUCUUCUGAACAAUAAAACUGGUUCUCCACAAUCCUUUAUCUUAACCUGAACAUUCCUUUCUAUUGAUCCCAAGUCUUUAGACAAAUUCAACCAACUGUCCACCCGAAAAUGUUUAAAUUUACCUAUAGCCUGGAAGGCCCCACUUUGAGUUGUCUCACCUUUCUGAACCAAACCAAUGUAUUUCUUAAAUGUAUUUGAUUGAUGUUUUAUGCCUCUCUAAAAUAUAUAAAACCAAGCUGCACCCCGACCACCUUGGGCACAUGUUCUCAGGACCACCUGAGGGCUGUGUCACGGGCCAAGGUUGUUCAUAUUUGACUCAGAAUAAAUCUCUUCAAAUAUUUUACAGAGUUUGACUCUUUUCAUCUACAAGUCAUGUGGUGUAAAGUGAUAGCUCAUUGUUUUCUAAUAGACUAUUUUCUACGAAAGUUUUAGGUUCACAGCAAAAUUGAGCAGAAAGUACACAGAGUUCUCAUAUACCCCUGCCUCCCCCCAACCCCAUGCACAACCUUUCCUACUAUCAAUAUCCCACAUCACAGUUGUACAUUUGUUUCAAAUUAUGACACAUCAUUAUCCAAAGUCCACAGUUUAUAUUAGGGUCCAUUUUUGGUGUUGUACAUUCUAUGGGUCCAGCAAAUGUGUAAUGACAUAUAUCCACCCGUGUAGUAGCAUACAGAAGGCUCACUGUCCUAAAAAUCCCGUUUUGUUUAUUCAUUCCUUCCUCCUCUCCAAACCUUCAUAUUUCGGUUUUGAUAUCUACUUUCCCAGCUGCUAAAGCUGUUGAUCAUCUUUUCAUGUGCUUAUUGGUCACUUACAUAUUAUCUUCUUUGGAGAAAUGUCUAUUCAAAUCCUUUGCCCAGUUUUAAAUUGGGUUAUUUGUCUUUCUGUUGUUGACUAUCACUUUUUAAGGUUGAGUUUGCUCCCUGCCAAGGAGGAAAACCCAUGACUUUUGUCUACUAUGAGAAAAACGCUAAUACUUUAUUAUUCUGGAGAAUGGCUUCCUCAGGAAUUUCACUGUUCCUUUCUACUUGAGAUUCACUAAAUGUUAAUACAGCCACUUUGUGGUUUCGGAGCAGAGCCAUCAUUUUUCUUGGCAGCCAGAUUUAUAGGACUCCAAAAGAAACAACCAGCAUUAGGCAGUAUUAAAUAAAAUUUGGAGAUAAAAGCUAAUCAGUGUGUAUAACAAUUACUGAUAUCAAAAUCAAGGAAUAAGAAUCAAAUAGCACUUCUUACUGUUCAUGGACUUCAAAAGAUUUAUAUGAAUUUGGUACUAUUAAAACUUCCUCUAAAUUUAAAUAUGAAACAGAUGGGAAUAAUACAGUUACAUGAGAAAUAUUAGUCAUUUCUCAGUGCUUAUGAGCUGGGUCCCUUUGGUGGACAGUAUUUGUGCAAAUGUUUUAGUAACUACAUGACUCUGCUCUGUUGUGAGCCAUAGUUAUCAUAUUUUUAUUUAUUCUAACCAGUUAAAUUACUAUUUACUGAACACCCACUGCCUCUUGUACUGAAGUCAUUAAAUUCUUUGAUACAUUUUAAAAAAGAAAUAGUUGCUUUUUCUCUGUUUACUAACUUUAAAAAAAAAGAAAAUAACACCCCCCAUUCCUCCUUGUAUUUCUUAGUUGGCUGAAGAUAUUCUGGAACUUAACACCAUAUAUUUUGGGAGAAAGAAAAACAAACCUAAAACAGAAAAUACCAUAGUUAUUUAAAUAUAGGACUUAAACUCUUGAAGUUUAUCUGCACUUAAAAAAAUUCUUUCCUUUUCUUAAAAUUUUUCAGAAAGGAUUUCACUAUCUCCUUUGAUAGUUUAUUCUGCAUUCUAAAACUCUCUUUUCUCAUGGAUAAUCAAAACCGAUCCUAUAGGCGCCUCUUCUGUAUUCAGUAGAAAAGGUGACUAGCAGCCGGGUGUGGUGGCUCAUGCCUGUAAUCCCAGCACUUUGGGAGGCCAAGGCAGGUGGAUCUCCUGAGGUCAGGAGUUCGAGACCAGCCUGGCCAACAUGGUGAAACCCCGUGUUUACUAAAAAUACAAACAUUAUCUGGGCAUGGUGGUGGGUGCCUUGUAAUGCCAGCUACUCGGGAGGCUGAGGCAGGAGAAUUGCUGGAACCCGGGAGUAGGAGGUUGUGGUGAGCCAAGAUCGCACCAUUGCACUCCAGCCUGGGUAACGAGUGAAACUCAAUCUCAAAAAAAAAAAAAAAAAAAAAAGGAAAAAAGAAAAAAAGAAAUGGUGACUAGCUUCCCCCCACCAUCUUGAUAUAAUGAUGAAAUUCUUCACGCCUUCUCUACCCAAUGAGGGAGAAAACAAACAUGAAAAUAUUGCAAGACACAAGACUAAGUACUAACAUUUGUUGACAAUAUUAAUUUUCUCAAUGUUUAGGUUUCUGAAAACAGAACAUUUACUGUUGACUUUUUCCCUCAUGUUACCAGGUGUAUCUCCAAACAUUCUAGAAACUUCAUGAGAUAAUAAAUUAUUAUUAAGCCUAAAUUAGGUGCUUUAUCUACUUUUUGACUGAAAAAAUUGAAACAUGGAAUAAAUUCAUUAUUUAAUAUUAACAUAGGUCUACAUUUCCUCUGCAAAAUUCUUGACCCAUAACUGCCAAUUUUAAGAUUAAAAAUACAGGCUGAGUGCAGUGGCUCAUGCCUGUAAUCUUAGCACUUUGGGAGGCUGAGGCAGGAGGAUCACUUGAGCCCAGGAGUUUGAGACCAGCUUGGGCAACAUGGAGAAACCCUGUCUCUACAAAAACUACAAAAAUCAUCCUAGUGUGGUGGCAUGUGCCUGCAGUUCCAGAUACCUGGGAGAUUGAGGUGGGAAGAUCACCAGACCCUGGGAGGUUGAGGCUGCAGUGAGUCAUGAUCAUGCCAAUGCACUCCAACGUGGGUAACACAGUGAGAUCUUGUCUCAAAGAAAAAAAAAAAAAGUUGAAAAGGAAAGAAAAAAACUUUUCAGGAAGGGUACACAUGCAAAGCAAGCCUGGCACGUAAUGAGUAUAAAUUAGAAACUAUAUAAAAUAUAUACAUUACAAAAUAUAAUAAGUUAAUGUAUAUAAAAUAGAAAAUAUACUUUUUUGGUUAAUAAAACAAAAUGAUGUGAGGUUAUGAAGAAAUUGUAUAAUUUCUUAAUUGGCUUUGAAAGCAAUUUCAAGCAUCCUAAAAGAGUUUCGAGUGAUAAAAACUUAACUAGAAUAAAAGCUUCUCACAUUCGUAAGAGCAACAAUUACUUCUCUUCCAGUGAUCUCCAAACUUAUUUAAUUACAUAUCUCACCAGUAAAAGGUUUGUGCAACUAUAUAUCCAGUGCACAUUUAUUUAAAAUGUAAAUAGGUUAUUAGCUAUUUCUAUUUUAAAGCACGCAUAAAUUAUAGUUGGAGUAAAACAAUGUAAAAGAUUGUGUUUUUACUUACUAAUGGGACAGAAUCUUUUUGCUGUUAUUAAAACAUAGAUUUUUAGUUUUUAAAUAAAAACAGGCUAUGGAAUAUAUUUCAUUAUUUAAAUUCUUUGUUGUUGUUUGUAUUAGUCCAUUUUCAUACUCUUAUGAAGAAAUCCCCAAGACUGGGUAAUUUAUAAUGAAAAAGAGGUUGAAUUAACUUACAGUUCCUCAUGGCUGGGGAGGCCUCACAAUUAGGGUUGAAGGUGAAGGAGGAGCAAAGGCAUGUCUUACAUGGUGGCAGGCAAGAGACUUGUGUUGAGCAUGUUGUUUUUGUUGACACAUAUGAAGAAAAUCCUAGGGCCCUUCAGACUCCUUGGUCUUGGAGAUCCCUAAGGACCACACUUGGAAACUGAUGGUCUAUGGCAAUGGGUCCUUUUAGGCCUUGAAUCCCUUUAAGAAUCUGACAAUAUGAAACUCUGUCUCUAGGAAGCUGCUGGAAGGUACACAUCUUGGGAGUUUGCCCUUUGAAGCUCACCUGUGGACCUUUUUUCCUUUCGAAAAGAAGCAUAAGCUGCAAUAAAAAUUUGGUUUCAAGAUAACAAAGUCAGUCCCCAAAAAUCAGUAUUGAGAGUCACUGACAUUAAAUGAUGAAGAUACGAGGAUGGUGUGGGGACCUUUACUCUUCGAAGAUGAGCUAUACAUGCCCCUGAAAAGGCUGUCUGAAGACAGGGGAAGGCUGGAGAUGGCAACUUUGGCCUCUGCCAAGUACUCGUGCUAUUUUCUGUAUGUGAUACUAUCUGUUUUGUAACUCAGAGGCAACACCACAUACCUAGCAUAAGGCUUGAACUCCCUUUGGGGUUAUCAAUUACUUACAUAGCCUUCCUCUAAGGGAAGGCUUGCAAGUGGUUCAUAUUCGACCCUUCCAUGUGAUAAGCAUUCAUGUGGGCUUCACAAUGUAACAGAGGUACACAGAGAUUCUUGUAAACAGAAAAUUUUAUAAAACUGUUAACUGAUCUCACUUUGAAGAAGUCUUACUGACUAGAUGUCAUUUAUCAGAGUAGACAGGCUUAAAAUGCAUUGCUUGUACUAGACUGUUGUAAUGCAUUUUUUUGUUUUUGCAUUGGUUUUUAAUUCAUUUAAUUGGUUUACACUCAUUUUUUUUUUUACAUUCCAUUUUUGCAUUUGUAUGCCAGUUAAAAAUUAUGAAAUGGCACAUUGUGGGAUUUUGUUUAGCUAAAUUCUAGAAAAAUUGAAAGAUACCUUUUAUUCGACUUAAGCCUGAGGUUAUUCAGCACGGUGAUCUCUGCAUUUUUGAAAGGUUGUCUCGUCGUUUAAUAAACGUAAAUAACUUAAGCACAUUGGAAGAGCUAUUAAAUGAGAGCAGGAGAUUAAAAAGACAUGAUUUCUUACUUUAUCCACCUGACAGGAUAGCUUGCAUUGGUGAUUAACCUUGCAUUGUUAAAUUCAUUUCCUAAAUAUUUAGGUAAGUAGUUGGUUUGAUCAUUAUUUGUAAAGUAUUAGUAGUUGCAUGUUGAAUUAUCAUGUUAAGAUUUUUAGUUUGUUGUUCAUGUGAUAUGAAAGAUAACAAUUCCUAAAACUGAAUGCAUGCAUGGCUUAUUCAGCUCAGGUCACAUACAAAGAGAAAUGUGACGCUGCAAUAAACAUAGCAGAGCUAUCUGGGUUUGAAGCAAAAAGGCUAUGACGUUAGGUAUAUGCACUUUACAUUGUAUGUAUCUUUUUAGUUCUAGUGAACUCAUCUGGAAUCAUGUUACAGAAAAUGAUUCUCCAGGUCCAAACACAUUUAAGUUUAAUGACUGGGACUACUCUAACAAUUGCGGCUAUCUCAUUUUGUCUCAUUGGUUCAUUAGCAUAGCACCCAUUUAAGAACAACUACUUCUAAACACAGUAAUAUUUCAGAGGCUAUAAAAUAAUAGAGAAAGAAAACUUAAAAAAUCCUUUGUUUGCAGCCAAGAAAAUGUGAGGAUCAGAUUUGUACUUGUUUUGAACAAUUGGAAACUGUCACAAUUGUUUUUAAGAUGUAAUAAAUGUAUAUAAAAUAUGGGAUUCUAUAGUAUUAGCCAUUUUGAUAUCUUUUGUUGAAAGAAAAAACCAAAAAACCCCAUAUGUUCUAAGUCUCAGAAAUCAAAGAAUUCCAC